AUGGUUAAAUCGCGCGAAAAGGCGAAAACCGAGAAUGGAGUGUGAUUCUGACCCAACAAGUUCAGAGACUUGUUUUAUAUGGGGUUAAUGGUUCACACUCUGGAUUUUGGGGUUCAAAUAAUAUAAUUUGACCCGUAUCGGCUAAAUUAUGAAAACUAGUUUCAUAAGCCGAACCGUGCGCGCAAUAGGCAAAACGGUUAACCAUGAGAGUCGUACGCUUAUUUCCUAAGUCAAUAUGCCUUAAAUGGGUUGUGGUAUCAGUAGGAUACCUUCCGUGACGCCCGUAACGAGUUCAAUUUAUAUUAUGCCCCGUAGGGGCUUUUCGGUCAUUUUAAAGACUUUUAAAAGGGAUUUUCGAGUUCUACAGGGAAUCUGAGUUUCCCGAACAGCUUAUAAAGCUUAAAAUACUUUAUUUAUUAUUUAAAACCAGUGGCAAUUGGAUUCGGGUCAAAAGACCUUGUAGAACUCCCGUUUUGGCCAAAAAGGGCAUAUUCGGUAUUUACCGAACCGUAGCCAUAACCGCAGGUUAUGAGCAAGGUAAAAAUUAUUAAAAAUCUUUAAAAUUCCCAAAAUAUUAUUUUACCACAGUGGGUAAAAGUUUUGGUGACGAAAACUUGGUUUAGAUGGGCGUUAUGCUAAUUGCGCCGUUAAUUACAAAAUUUUCUUAAAAGUGCGCCUUUUAGCAUAACUCUCAUUCUAGACCUCGGAUUGACGUGAAACUUUAG
This 725-nucleotide long non-coding RNA is filed under the name Helianthus annuus (common sunflower). The record is from RNAcentral. Lineage: Eukaryota; Viridiplantae; Streptophyta; Magnoliopsida; Asterales; Asteraceae.